UGAGGGAGAUUAGAACCAAUAGGAGGUUAAAGGAAAACAUCUGGUCCUUCACCGUAAUCACCAAUAGAGAGGUGGAUCUUCCUUGGGGGAGGAGCGGCCCAUCUGACCACCGACCCUACAACAUGCCAUAGAAUGCUUGCUCCACAGGGGAGACUGCCUCUGUCAUUCUGCAGGAAAUGCACUCAAAGCUUCAGAAAAAUUAAUAAGGUCCUGUACAAUUAAUCACCCAAAGGAAUGACAAAACAGCUCUCAAAAUGGCAUCUUGAAAUGUGCCAAUUUUAUCUGUUAUCUC
Bos taurus (domestic cattle) is the source of this 292-nucleotide long non-coding RNA. The record is from Ensembl. Lineage: Eukaryota; Metazoa; Chordata; Mammalia; Artiodactyla; Bovidae.